AGUAAUAUGUUGACGGUGCGAUCGUUAGAGUGAGCGCAAACUCUCCAAUUGUUUUAAUUUAGAUCGGGCUCGUCAAACUGCACGUGACAUUUGGUGCGUCUAGACUCUGACGUUGUAUGUGAGUUACAAAUACCAAGAAAAAACUGAACAGUACUGAAAGUUAAUGAAAAAAAAAGUAACGUUUACAAUUUAUCUUCAAUAUGUAUCCAUUUAAUCAAGGCGAGUAAACUUUUUGUUGAACAUCUGCCUAUAUUCUCGUGAGAACGCAACUUUGCUAAGUGAUGCAUUGUGGGUCAAAAUUACUGCAGCAAAAAAUUCUAAAGAAUACAUGUGCAGUCAUUAGAGCUCGCAGUUACGAGCAUUGCUUUGCGACACUUGCUGCGCUCGCUAUUACGGGGGGGGGGGGGGGGGGGGGGGGGCUGAGCUGACCAGUUCAUUUGGAUUUGAAACAUAAGCAUAGUACAUGUACACAUUCGCCCUUGAUGCCGUUUGCUCUUAUUGUGGUUCGCCUUGAGUCUGCUCACUCUAAAAACAAAAUUUUUAACACUUGCUCCAUUUGCGCAUAUGUUAGUUGGAUAAUACUCAUAAUUUCCUUUGAUUUUUUUGAAUUUUGGUUUAAAUUAUAAUUUAUUUUCAGAAUUAAAAAAAGAUAUUUUUGUAAUCGAUGUGAUAAACAUUAAUUUGAAUUUUUAUAUAACCAUUCAGUAAGGUACAUUUAAUAUUAAAUGAGAAAUAAAAGAUUCUAAAAACUAUAUUUAUUGUCAACAUGGUCAAUGGUUUCAUGGUUAACGUCACUCUCAAUUUCCUGAAUUAUUUUCAAAACAUACAUGCUAAUAUGAACCCUUAAAAACUAACAAAGAAGAUGUUCUCUUACAGUAAUGACAAAAUUAACAGCACUUUAACCAAAUGAGUCUUUAAAUAAUAUUAAAAUCGGAAAUAAAGUCAAUAAGUAUAGAUGGAAAAAAAGUAGAUUAUCUUUUAAAAAACAAAAAUGACUAAAAAUCUAGGGAUAAUUAAUGAUAUGAAGAAAUAUUUACAAUAGAGCGAUCAGGAUCUAUGGCGAACAGGACAUAAGGACGAAUAAGAACAAACCCUGCACAAACAGACUCGCCCGAACAGGUAGAUGAUGCAAACGGACCUGAUACCUACUUCUGUAAAAUGCAAUUGUUGUAAAUUCUGGCCAGAUUAAAGGUGUUUGAGGGUAAUUUCUCAAGUAUUUGAUGAUGCAGUCCAUUAAGACAUUAUUGUGUUCACUUCUAUAUUAAAAAAAAGUGAAUAAUAAUAAUAUGAUUUUAUAGACAUUUUAAAAGGAACAUAUUUUCUUUUUUUAUUUAGUGUCUUGAAAAUUCCAGGCAUAUGCAAGCAAUGUAAUGCCAAGUGACUGAAACAGAAAAGUUGUAUCUCAAGUCUUGAACUAGAAGAUGACAAAACAUUUCAAUGAAAUCUCUGGAAAUGACAUCAUCAAAUAAACAAAGACUCGGGUUCAGAGGACCAGUUCAACACUUUGGAUAAAAUUUAUCAGGCAGUGACUUUCUUCUUCGACUACAAUGCAUUUAUAAGCACUAAAGA
Saccostrea cuccullata (small rock oyster) is the source of this 1569-nucleotide long non-coding RNA. RefSeq lists it as uncharacterized. The record is from RefSeq and is a predicted model, not a curated record. Lineage: Eukaryota; Metazoa; Mollusca; Bivalvia; Ostreida; Ostreidae. The transcript has 2 exons.